GAUGAACGCUGGCGGCGUGCCUAAUACAUGCAAGUCGAGCGGUAAGGCUCCUUCGGGAGUACACGAGCGGCGGACGGCUGAGUAACACGUAGGAACGUACCCCAAACUGAGGGAUAAGCACCAGAAAUGGUGUCUAAUACCGCAUGUGAUCUUCGGAUUAAAGCUCCGGCGGUUUGGGAACGGCCUGCGUAAGAUUAGCUUGUUGGUGAGGUAAUAGCUCACCAAGGCGACGAUCUUUAGCUGGUCUGAGAGGAUGAUCAGCCAGACUGGGACUGAGAACGGCCCAGACUCCUACGGGAGGCAGCAGUAGGGAAUUUUCCACAAUGGACGAAAGUCUGAUGGAGCAACGCCGCGUGCAGGAUGAAUGUCUUCGGAUUGUAAACUGCUUUUCUCUGUGACGAUUAUGACGGUAGCAGAGGAAUAAGGACCUGCUAACUACGUGCCAGCCGC
RNAcentral lists this ribosomal RNA (450 nucleotides) under uncultured bacterium. RNAcentral's name for it is "bacterial SSU rRNA". It matches the Rfam family "Bacterial small subunit ribosomal RNA", at positions 28 to 515 of the family's 1533-position model. The record is from RNAcentral.